CAGCCGCUGCUGCUGCCGCUGCUGCUUUAGCGAUAAUAGUUGUAGUGGCGGCGGCGGCAGCAGCAGUUAAGGAGAGCGCGAGAAACCCCUCAGCAAACAGGAGCAGAUCCAUUCAUCUACACAGGAGUGCAGUAUGAUCCAAGAACCUUGUGCUAAUAUAUGAUUUGGCUUCAAAUGUUCCCUGAACUGAAUUUCUCCUCCAUCUCCAGUCAAGAGGUCUACACACUUGGGCAUACCUCUCCACCCAGGCAAACAAGAGAGAUUCCCAUAAUUCAAGGGGCAUCUC
This is a long non-coding RNA of Podarcis raffonei (Aeolian wall lizard), 286 nucleotides long. RefSeq lists it as uncharacterized. The record is from RefSeq and is a predicted model, not a curated record. The transcript is spliced from 3 exons. Lineage: Eukaryota; Metazoa; Chordata; Lepidosauria; Squamata; Lacertidae.